AGGAGGUGCCGACCGCGGCGCUCGGACCUGGUAACUUACAAGAUUAAAAUUAUAUUUGGUUGAUGAUGGUUCUGAACAAAUACAGCUCUUAUUUGAGGUAUGCCAUUUUGAAGACGGAGACCGUGGAAUUUUAUCCUUGAGGAUAAAGGAAAUCUUUGCGAUAGUCUGUAUUUCAUAUAGCAAAAAUAUGAAUCCUGAGGCUGAAUUAUCUAAGGGGCCAGUACAACGAAAAUAGAUGUUGGUGGAAGAAUUUAUUUACACCCAGUCAGCUUGAAGAGUCUCAAAUGGACCCUACCACUGAGAAAUCAAGAUGGCAGUCCACUAUGGGGAAUUGAGAAAAAUGGAUUAAUACAAGAGUGCUGUGAUAAUAUACAACCAAGACAGGGUUCUUUUAACAUGGAUUUCAUGAAAUGAAUGAAGAUAUAGGUUUCUUACCCAGCACAAAUGGACAGUGAAUUUGACUUUCUAGAGACUUUGUAUCAUUAAGAACAUUUUUGACAUUUGGAGAAGAAAGAUGGCACAUUAA
This is a long non-coding RNA of Lagenorhynchus albirostris (white-beaked dolphin), 526 nucleotides long. RefSeq lists it as uncharacterized. The transcript has 2 exons. Lineage: Eukaryota; Metazoa; Chordata; Mammalia; Artiodactyla; Delphinidae. The record is from RefSeq and is a predicted model, not a curated record.